UAUUGCACAAUGGGCGCAAGCCUGAUGCAGCCAUGCCGCGUGUAUGAAGAAGGCCUUCGGGUUGUAAAGUACUUUCAGCGAGGAGGAAGGCGUUAAGGUUAAUAACCUUGGUGAUUGACGUUACUCGCAGAAGAAGCACCGGCUAACUCCGUGCCAGCAGCCGCGGUAAUACGGAGGGUGCAAGCGUUAAUCGGAAUUACUGGGCGUAAAGCGCACGCAGG
Molecule: ribosomal RNA, 221 nt
Filed under: Klebsiella aerogenes
Lineage: Bacteria; Pseudomonadati; Pseudomonadota; Gammaproteobacteria; Enterobacterales; Enterobacteriaceae
Description: partial 16S ribosomal RNA
Rfam family: Bacterial small subunit ribosomal RNA
Source: RNAcentral